This is a long non-coding RNA of Amphiprion ocellaris (clown anemonefish), 1083 nucleotides long. RefSeq lists it as uncharacterized. NCBI's taxonomy places the organism in Eukaryota, Metazoa, Chordata, Actinopteri, Pomacentridae. The record is from RefSeq and is a predicted model, not a curated record. The transcript has 2 exons.
UCUCUGUUAUGUAACAGCAGGUGCAUUGUGGGACAUGAGGAGGUGACCGUGGUCGAUUAGGAACGACAGUAAAUCUGAGCUCGUUUAAUCCUUGUCACCACGGCAACCACCCAGCUGACACACACAAACACACGCACACACACACACACACAAAAGUUAUUGAUUGGGAUCAGGCCCCACCCCUGAUCUGUGAUGUCACAGAUACUGCAGGAAUUUGAUUGGCUGUGCUGAAGGAGGCAGUAAUAGGCGGAAGUGUUACAUAACAGAAGGUGUUUGAUACAUCAAUCAGCAGGAGAGGAGGAGGAAGAAUGGAGGAAAUGAAGGCGAAGGAAACAAAAGGAGGGAAGGAAAGAGGGAGGAAAGAUUAGUAAGAGGAGGGGAGAUGGAGAAACAAGGAGGAAGCAAAUAAUGUCAGAAGGAUUGAAUAAAGGAAGAUAAGCUGUAUUUGGGAAGAGGAAAGGAAGGAUGGGAGGGAAGGAGGGAGGGAGAAAGGGGGUGAAGUGACGAAAGCAAGGUCAGGAAGGAGAGAAGGACAAAGAAACAAAGGAAGGGAUGAAGGGACAAAGAGGAAAAGAAGGACAGAUGCACAGAAGGGAGAAAGAAAAUUAGGAAGACACGGAGGAGAAAUAAAUCGGAGAAAAGAUGGAGAAUGAAGGACAAAGAUAAGUAAAGGAAGACAUAAGAAACAAGGAAAGUAAGGAUGAAGGACUGACAGGCCUAGAGGAAGAAGGCAGGAAGUAAAAAAAUGAUGGAAGAAAAAAAGAGGAAGGAUGAAUAAAAGAGGAAAGACGGGCAGACAGAGGGGAAAUGGGGGAGGAAAGGGAGAGUAGGAAGGAGGGGUGAGAUGGGGAACAAAGGAACAUAGUGGGGUGAGGGAGGAGGGGGGUCAGCAGCAGGAUAAUCUGGGGCACUGGAGACCACGUGGCCGUCACCGUGACAACCGUCUCCCUGUGGGUCAGAGAGGAGGAGGGCUGUGAUUGGCUGAAUGCUGCGUGUGAGAGUGGAUCAAACAGGAAGGAUGAGUGAGACAGAGAGCUGCAGGACGAACACUGAAUUCUCGCCGCUCUGCAUCCUGGAAGGGAU